UGGCUGCCUAUGCUUACACUAGCCAAAACUCAUCAUCACAGAGAGGAUUAGCCAUGGUGUUGGCUCUAGCCUCAGCAAUAGUGCUAUCACCAUUGUAUUUAAAUCGAAGAAAUGAUUCGCAUUUUUUCAAUACAAAAUGGAGCUCUGGAUUUGUUCUUCCAAUGGUUCUUGCUGGACUAAUAAUCGCCAUUAGAACUACGUCGACAUCAUCAGUCCAAAACGGUGGUAGAGCUUCAUUGACCCCUUCUUCAGAUCCUUCUUGGGUGCUUAGAAUUGGAAGCUCAUCUUGGGGACUUGCUGGGAUCCUGGUGAUGCUCAUGCUUGUGCUUUCAUGGCAAGAAUCUGUCCAAGAAUUCUUCUGGAGAUAGACAAAAAUAAAGAAAUUGAUCUUCUUUCUAUCAUAUAUAGGUGUGUUGUGUGAUUAUUUCCAGUAACUAGCCAUAUACAAUAAUGUAGAAUUAAUGGUGGUAGUAAUUAAAAAUUUUGUUAUGUUCUCUUUUGUAUUAAUGAAAGCAAACAUAACCAAAUUUUUAAU
This 535-nucleotide unclassified non-coding RNA is filed under the name Hevea brasiliensis (rubber tree). Lineage: Eukaryota; Viridiplantae; Streptophyta; Magnoliopsida; Malpighiales; Euphorbiaceae. The record is from RNAcentral.